AGUAGAGUCAGCUAAUAUAAGCUUUUGGGCCCAUACCCCGAACACGUUGGUUAAAGUCCUUCCUCUACUA
This 70-nucleotide transfer RNA is filed under the name Nothobranchius furzeri (turquoise killifish). Its description in RNAcentral is "tRNA (ENSNFUG00015000010.1)". It matches the Rfam family "tRNA". Rfam says of the family: Transfer RNA (tRNA) molecules are approximately 80 nucleotides in length. Their secondary structure includes four short double-helical elements and three loops (D, anti-codon, and T loops). Further hydrogen bonds mediate the characteristic L-shaped molecular structure. tRNAs have two regions of fundamental functional importance: the anti-codon, which is responsible for specific mRNA codon recognition, and the 3' end, to which the tRNAs corresponding amino acid is attached (by aminoacyl-tRNA synthetases). tRNAs cope with the degeneracy of the genetic code in two manners: having more than one tRNA (with a specific anti-codon) for a particular amino acid; and 'wobble' base-pairing, i.e. permitting non-standard base-pairing at the 3rd anti-codon position. Lineage: Eukaryota; Metazoa; Chordata; Actinopteri; Cyprinodontiformes; Nothobranchiidae. RNAcentral also lists the same sequence under 1 other name. The record is from RNAcentral.